Molecule: ribosomal RNA, 497 nt
Filed under: uncultured bacterium
Lineage: Bacteria
Description: partial 16S ribosomal RNA
Rfam family: Bacterial small subunit ribosomal RNA
Source: RNAcentral
GAUGAACGCUGGCGGCGUGCCUAAUACAUGCAAGUCGAGCGAACAGAUAAGGAGCUUGCUCCUUUGACGUUAGCGGCGGACGGGUGAGUAACACGUGGGUAACCUACCUAUAAGACUGGGAUAACUUCGGGAAACCGGAGCUAAUACCGGAUAAUAUUUCGAACCGCAUGGUUCGAUAGCGAAAGAUGGUUUUGCUAUCACUUAUAGAUGGACCCGCGCCGUAUUAGCUAGUUGGUAAGGUAACGGCUUACCAAGGCUACGAUACGUAGCCGACCUGAGAGGGUGAUCGGCCACACUGGAACUGAGACACGGUCCAGACUCCUACGGGAGGCAGCAGUAGGGAAUCUUCCGCAAUGGGCGAAAGCCUGACGGAGCAACGCCGCGUGAGUGAUGAAGGUCUUCGGAUCGUAAAACUCUGUUAUUAGGGAAGAACAUACGUGUAAGUAACUGUGCACGUCUUGACGGUACCUAAUCAGAAAGCCACGGCUAACUACGUG